CUACAGAUAAGCUAAUAAAAGCUAGUGGGCUCAUAACCCAAAUAUGGUUUCAUCCUCUGUAGA
This 63-nucleotide transfer RNA is filed under the name Arion ater rufus. RNAcentral's name for it is "tRNA-Met". Lineage: Eukaryota; Metazoa; Mollusca; Gastropoda; Stylommatophora; Arionidae. The record is from RNAcentral.